RNAcentral lists this long non-coding RNA (956 nucleotides) under Ananas comosus (pineapple). Its description in RNAcentral is "long non-coding RNA (ACOM_LNC037307)". The record is from RNAcentral. Lineage: Eukaryota; Viridiplantae; Streptophyta; Magnoliopsida; Poales; Bromeliaceae.
CUCUGUUGUGCCCUAACAGUAUAACUUGCGACGAGUACUUUUUCUCAUUCUAUCGAACAAAAAGUAAAACCUAAUUAUAUAGUUCUAUUAUGCCCUGCGAGUGUAAAGUUUGAACGAAUCUUCAACGUUCACAAAAACCAAAAUCGGAACAACAUUAGACUACUCAGUAGCGCCCUAACAGUAUAACUUUGCAACGAGUACUUUUUCUCAUUCUAUCGAACAAAGAGUAAAACCUAAUUAUUUUGCUCUAUUAUGCCUCGAUAGUGUAAAUUUGAAACGAAUCGAUGUCAACGUUCACAAGUACCAAAACCGGAACAACAUUAGACUACUCAGUUGCGCCCUAACAGUAUAACUUUGCAACGAGUACUUUUUCUCAUUCUAUCGAGCAAAUAGUAAAAACUAAUUAUAUUGUUCUAUUAUGCCUCGAGAGUGUAAAUUUGAAACGAAUCGAUGUCAACGUUCACAAGAACCAAAACCGGAACAACGUUAGACUACUCAGUUGAGCCCUAACAAUAUAACUUUGCAACUAGUACUUUUUCUCAUUCAAUCGAACAAAGAGCAAAACCUAAUUAUAUUGUUCUAUUAUGCCCCGAGAGUGUAAAUUUGGAACGAAUCGAUGUCAACGUUCACAAGAACCAAAACCGGAACAACAUUAGGCUACUCAGUUGCGCCCUAACAGUAUAACUUUGCAACGAGUACUUUUUCUCAUUCAAUCGAAUAAAGAGCAAAACGUAAUUAUAUAGUCCUAUUAUGCCCCGAGAGUGUAAAUUUGAAACGAAUCGAUGUCAACGUUCACAAGAACCAAAUCCGAAACAAUGUUAGACUACUCAGUUGAGCCCUAACUGUAUUAUUUUGCAACUAGUACUUUUUAUCAUUCUAUCGAACAAAGAGUAAAACCUAAUUAAAUUGUUCUAUUAUGCCCCGAGAGUGUAAAUUUGGAACGAAUCGCUGUNNNN